This 284-nucleotide long non-coding RNA is filed under the name Macaca mulatta (Rhesus monkey). Its description in RNAcentral is "lncRNA (ENSMMUG00000056039.1)". Lineage: Eukaryota; Metazoa; Chordata; Mammalia; Primates; Cercopithecidae. The record is from RNAcentral.
UAUUAUUAGUAACAAAGUGAUUAAAAUAAGAGGACUCAAUUUGGAAAAUUUGAGAUGUGAAGCCUUACUGGUUAAAAAGAAAUCAAUAGAUACAAGGUCACUAAUUUAGUACUUCCAUUUUCGUAUCUUUUGAAAAAGAGGCCCCCCUCAAGUUCUAUAAGCUUCAAGCUCCAGAAAUCCUGGAUCUGCCCCCGGUGAUGGCUCGGCCCCUUCACUUGCUGGGAGGAGAAGGGCUGAUGAGAACUUCUCCAGGCCAAGCAGUGACCCAUGGAUCACCCCAGGAG